CUGCUAAAUAACCCGGCCGGCUUUGGCUGGUCGCCGGCUUUUUAGAGGGACUGUCAGCGUCUAGCCGAGGGAAGUUUGAGGCAAUAACAGGUCUGUGAUGCCCUUAGAUGUUUUGGGCCGCACGCGCGCUACACUGACAGAGCCAGCGAGUUUUUUUCCUUGGCCGGAAGGUCUGGGUAAUCUUGUGAAACUCUGUCGUGCUGGGGAUAGAGCAUUGCAAUUAUUGCUCUUCAACGAGGAAUUCCUAGUAGAGCCGUGAGUCAUCAGCUCUGUCGUUUGAUUACGUCCCUGGCCCCUUUG
This 300-nucleotide ribosomal RNA is filed under the name uncultured fungus. RNAcentral's name for it is "SSU rRNA". It matches the Rfam family "Eukaryotic small subunit ribosomal RNA", at positions 1348 to 1658 of the family's 1831-position model. Lineage: Eukaryota; Fungi. The record is from RNAcentral.